CGAGAAGGUUCACUGUCGGUCUGGCUACUUUAGACUGACCAGUUUGCGUUCUUGGAAAAACGGAACCAAAGGAAGAUUCGUGUAUUAAAUUGGACACAAUUCCAUAUUUCAUUAUCGGGAUACGUAUUCGAGCGAUUAUAAGAAAGUCAGAUCAAAGAUGGAUAAACCAGAAAGUUAGUGUUCUCGAGAUAAUUUACUGCUUCAAUCGCUCUAAAGCAAACUACCCAAAUAAUUCAUCGAUGAAAAAAGAUAACCCAUUUUACGAACGAUUUACAAAAUCUGAUUAAUCACACCAGCCCCC
RNAcentral lists this unclassified non-coding RNA (301 nucleotides) under Bombus terrestris (buff-tailed bumblebee). Its description in RNAcentral is "misc RNA ENSBTSG00005035650.1". The record is from RNAcentral. Lineage: Eukaryota; Metazoa; Arthropoda; Insecta; Hymenoptera; Apidae.